AACGAACGCUGGCGGCAUGCCUAACACAUGCAAGUCGAACGAUGCCUUCGGGCCUAGUGGCGCACGGGUGCGUAACGCGUGGGAAUCUGCCCUUGGCUUCGGAAUAACAGUUAGAAAUGACUGCUAAUACCGGAUGAUGUCCCCCUGAGAGAUCUUGGGGACCAAAGAUUUAUCGGCCAGGGAUGAGCCCGCGUAGGAUUAGGUAGUUGGUGGGGUAAAGGCCUACCAAGCCGACGAUCCUUAGCUGGUCUGAGAGGAUGAUCAGCCACACUGGGACUGAGACACGGCCCAGACUCCUACGGGAGGCAGCAGUGGGGAAUGUUGGACAAUGGGGGGAACCCUGAUCCAGCAAUGCCGCGUGAGUGAUGAAGGCCUUAGGGUUGUAAAGCUCUUUUACCAGGGAUGAUAAUGACAGUACCUGGAGAAUAAGCUCCGGCUAACUCCGUG
Molecule: ribosomal RNA, 447 nt
Filed under: uncultured bacterium
Lineage: Bacteria
Description: partial 16S ribosomal RNA
Rfam family: Bacterial small subunit ribosomal RNA
Source: RNAcentral